UCUGGGAUAGCUCAGUUGGUACAGCAUGAGACUCUUAAUCUGAGGGUCAUGGGUUUGAGCCCCAGAGUGCAUUGCAGGG
Molecule: non-coding RNA, 79 nt
Organism: Podarcis lilfordi (Lilford's wall lizard)
Lineage: Eukaryota; Metazoa; Chordata; Lepidosauria; Squamata; Lacertidae
Source: the annotation of a GenBank genome assembly